GGAGCAAGACUGUCUGGAACACUUCUGUUGCUGCUGCUGCUGAGCUGUGACCGAGAGAGGAGAAGAAGAGAGACUGCACCUGGAGCCUGGAGGACAUCUGCCUGGAGGAUCAACUGUGCUGGACAUCCUGAGAGGACACCUGGUUGUUUAUCGUUGGUGGACCUCUUCUGGACUGGACUGCACUUGGUGGACAUCGGCCUGCAGAUCUCUGCGUGGAGGAUCAACAUUGCUGGACAUCUGCACUGGUGGACUGCAUCGUGGAGGAGAGGAGGACCAGCUGCAAGACUGCCUGAACAUCGCUGGACUGCAGGACUGGUGUUACUGUGAGCGAGUCCGGGUUCACAUUUGGGUGGCCUUGGGGGUGGGUUCUUGCUAGCUUGGGAGGGGGGAGGCUCAUCUUCAAAACACCACAUC
Long non-coding RNA from Eublepharis macularius, 414 nucleotides. RefSeq lists it as uncharacterized. The transcript is spliced from 3 exons. The record is from RefSeq and is a predicted model, not a curated record. Lineage: Eukaryota; Metazoa; Chordata; Lepidosauria; Squamata; Eublepharidae.